AUGAACGCUGGCGGCGUGCCUAAUACAUGCAAGUCGAGCGAACAGACGAGGAGCUUGCUCCUCUGACGUUAGCGGCGGACGGGUGAGUAACACGUGGAUAACUUACCUAUAAGACUGGGAUAACUUCGGGAAACCGGAGCUAAUACCGGAUAAUAUAUUGAACCGCUUGGUUCAAUAGUGAAAGACGGUUUUGCUGUCACUUAUAGAUGGAUCCGCGCCGCAUUAGCUAGUUGGUAAGGUAACGGCUUACCAAGGCAACGAUGCGUAGCCGACCUGAGAGGGUGAUCGGCCACACGGGAACUGAGACACGGUCCAGACUCCUACGGGAGGCAGCAGUAGGGAAUCUGCCGCAAAGGGCGAAAGCCUGACAGAGCAACGCCGCGUGAGUGAUGAAGGUCUUCGGAUCGUAAAACUCUGUUAUUAGGGAAGAACAAAUGUGUAAGUAACUAUGCACGUCUUGACGGUACCUAAUCAGAAAGCCACGGCUAACUACGUG
This 496-nucleotide ribosomal RNA is filed under the name uncultured bacterium. Its description in RNAcentral is "partial 16S ribosomal RNA". It matches the Rfam family "Bacterial small subunit ribosomal RNA", at positions 29 to 507 of the family's 1533-position model. The record is from RNAcentral.